Molecule: non-coding RNA, 70 nt
Organism: Rhamnusium bicolor
Lineage: Eukaryota; Metazoa; Arthropoda; Insecta; Coleoptera; Cerambycidae
Source: the annotation of a GenBank genome assembly
GGUAUGGUAGCCGAGUGGGUAAAGCGCUUAUAGCUAUUAAAUAUCGAUGGUUCGAAUCCAUCCUGGAGCA